This 2148-nucleotide ribosomal RNA is filed under the name human gut metagenome. RNAcentral's name for it is "bacterial LSU rRNA". It matches the Rfam family "Bacterial large subunit ribosomal RNA", at positions 1 to 2003 of the family's 2925-position model. The record is from RNAcentral.
UGCCGCUUGCGAGGGCGUAUGGUGGAUGCCUUGGCAGACAGUACCGAUGAAGGACGUUUGAGGAUGCGAUAAUCCUAGGGGAGCCUCCAACAUGGCUUUGAUCCUAGGGUCUCCGAAUGGGGGAACCCGCCGGCCGUCAUGGGCCGGCACCGCCUAUGGGCGGGGGGUACGCAGGGAAGUGAAACAUCUCAGUACCUGCAGGAAGGGAUACUCCGUGAGUAGUGGCGAGCGAAAGCGGAUCAGACCAAACCGGUUGCGCGUGAUACCCGUCGGGGGUUGCGUUGCCGGUGUUGUGGGAUCACGUGUCCCGGUUCCGACGGGCCGGGCGGGAGUCAUAAAACGGCUUGCCAGGGGAACAGGCUUGAAGGCCUGGCCGUAGAGGGUGCCAGCCCCGUACCUGGACGUGAGCCGUCUUCCGAUCGUGUUGUCCCAAGUAGCGCGGGCCUCGUGGAAUCCCGCGUGAAUCAGCCCAGACCGUUGGGUAAGUCUAAGCAUACCUGUCUGACCGAUAGCGUACCAGUACCGUGAGGGAAAGGUGAAAAGCACCCCGGGAGGGGAGUGAAACAGUUCCUGAAACCGUGCGCCCACAAACCGUCGGAGCCUCUGUGUGGGGUGACGGCGUGCCUAUCGAAAAAUGAGUCUGCGAGUCAGUGGCGGGUGGCGAGCAUAAGCCGUGUGGCGUAUGCGUAGCGAAAGCGAGUCUUAAAAGGCGUUUGUAGUCGCUUGUCCUGGACCCGAAGCGGGAUGAUCUAGCCCUGGGCAGGUUGAAGCGCGGGUAAGACCGCGUGGAGGACCGAACCCACCUGGGUUGAAAACCGGGGGGAUGACCUGGGGCUAGGGGUGAAAGGCCAAUCAAAUUCCGUGAUAGCUGGUUCUCUCCGAAAUGCAUUUAGGUGCAGCGUCGGUCGAUUGCGUCGCGGGGGUAGAGCUACCGGAUGCUUGCGGGCCCUUGUUGGGUACCAACAGCAGCCGAACUCCGAAUACCGUUGACGUGUAUUCCGGCAGUGAGUCGGCGGGGGAUAAGCUCCGUCGUCGAGAGGGAGACAGCCCAGACCGUCGUCUAAGGUCCCGAAGCGUGUGCUAAGUGGGAAAGGAUGUGGAGUCGCAUAGACAGCCAGGAGGUUGGCUCAGAAGCAGCCAUCCUUGAAAGAGUGCGUAACAGCUCACUGGUCUAGUGGUUCCGCGCCGACAAUGUAGCGGGGCUCAAGCACACCACCGAAGACGCGGCAGCAAUCUUCAUGGUUGCUGGGUAGGAGAGCGUCCUGCGAGGGGCGAAGCGGCCGGGUAACCGUGCCGUGGACUUCGUGGGAGUGAGAAUGCAGACAUGAGUAGCGAGAGACGGGUGAGGAUCCCGUCCGCUGGAUGACCAAGGGUUCCGGGGCCACGUUCGUCGUCCCCGGGUGAGUCGGGUCCUAAGGCGAGGCCGACAGGCGUAGUCGAAUGGAUGAACGGGUGGAUAUUCCCGUACCGACCAUGGACCGGCAAAACCGAGACGGUGAGUACUAACCUCCGCCUCGUGGUGGUUCCUUCCUUCGGGUUGGUGUCGCCGCGUGGCGUUGGGAGCGUAGCCGUAGUAGGUCAGCGCAGGGGUGACACGGAAUGGGAGCCGGCCGCGGAGGUGGUUUUCCGUGGUCAAGCACGCAGCCAGUCAUGUAGGCAAAUCCGCAUGGCGCGCAUGGCGAGGUGUGAUGAUGGGAGCCGUUAUGGCUCGAUAUCCGGUUGUCCAGGCCGUCGAGAAAAGCCUCGGCGUGAGGGCCAUGGCCGCCCGUACCCCAAACCGACACUGGUGGUCAGGUAGAGAAUACCAAGGCGAUCGAGCGAAUCCUGGUCAAGGAACUCGGCAAAUCACUCCCGUGCCUUCGGUAUAAGGGAGACCCGCUGGGGUGAACCGGCUAGCCCGGGGAGCUUUGGUGGGUGGCACAGACCAGGGGGUAGCGACUGUUUACCAAAAACACAGGUGCAUGCGAAGGCGAAAGCCGCUGUAUAUGCACUGACGCCUGCCCGGUGCCGGAAGGUUAAGAGGAUCCGUCAAUCCCUUCGGGGACGAAGCGGUGAAUUCAAGCCCCGGUAAACGGCGGUGGUAACUAUAACCAUCCUAAGGUAGCGAAAUUCCUUGUCGGGUAAGUUCCGACCUGCACGAAUGGCGUA